Molecule: non-coding RNA, 77 nt
Organism: Merluccius polli (Benguela hake)
Lineage: Eukaryota; Metazoa; Chordata; Actinopteri; Gadiformes; Merlucciidae
Source: the annotation of a GenBank genome assembly
AUAGCGUUGGCCGAGCGGUCUAAGGCGUUGGGUUAAGGCUCCAGUCUCUUGGUUUGGUUCGAAUCCCACCGCUGUCA